Molecule: ribosomal RNA, 442 nt
Filed under: uncultured bacterium
Lineage: Bacteria
Description: partial 16S ribosomal RNA
Rfam family: Bacterial small subunit ribosomal RNA
Source: RNAcentral
GCUACGUGAGGCAGCAGUGGGGAAUAUUGGGCAAUGGGCGCAAGCCUGACCCAGCAACUCCGCGUGAAGGAAGAAGGCUUUCGGGUUGUAAACUUCUUUUAAGAGGGAAGAGCAGAAGACGGUACCUCUUGAAUAAGCCACGGCUAACUACGUGCCAGCAGCCGCGGUCAUACGUAGGUGGCAAGCGUUGUCCGGAUUUACUGGGGGUAAAGGGCGUGUAGCCGGGCUGACAAGUCAGAUAUGAAAUUCCGGGGCUCAACCCCGGACCUGCAUUUGAAACUGUUGGUCUUGAGUAUCGGAGAGGCAGGCGGAAUUCCUAGGGUAGUGGUGAAAUGCGUAGAUAUUAGGAGGAACACCAGUGGCGAAGGCGGCCUGCUGGACGACAACUGACGGUGAGGCGCGAAAGCGUGGGGAGCAAACAGGAUUAGAUACCCCUGUAGUC